UACGGAGGGUGCAAGCGUUAAUCGGAAUUACUGGGCGUAAAGCGUGCGUAGGUGGUUCGUUAAGUCCGUUGUGAAAGCCCCGAGCUCAACUUGGGAAUUGCAGCGGAUACUGGCGAGCUGGAGUGCGGUAGAGGAAGGUGGAAUUCCCGGUGUAGCGGUGAAAUGCGUAGAGAUCGGGAGGAACGCCAGUGGCGAAGGCGGCCUUCUGGACCAGCACUGACACUCAAGCACGAAAGCGUGGGGAGCAAACAGG
RNAcentral lists this ribosomal RNA (253 nucleotides) under uncultured bacterium. RNAcentral's name for it is "partial 16S ribosomal RNA". It matches the Rfam family "Bacterial small subunit ribosomal RNA", at positions 524 to 776 of the family's 1533-position model. The record is from RNAcentral.